This 557-nucleotide long non-coding RNA is filed under the name Phoenix dactylifera (date palm). RNAcentral's name for it is "long non-coding RNA (PDAC_LNC004227)". The record is from RNAcentral. Lineage: Eukaryota; Viridiplantae; Streptophyta; Magnoliopsida; Arecales; Arecaceae.
AGUCCUCCUGGUGAAUCUCCGGGCAAGUUUCUCUCCCUCUUCUAUCUCCCUUUUAUUUGAUCACUCUGUUUUUUUUCUUUUUUCUUUUUUUUUUGGCUACAGAUAACUAAAAUGAUUGCGGUCCUGAUUUACCAGGGUUUUUAGACAGGAAAUACUACUAAUGGUUUUGAUGGCCGAAAUGCUCAUUUCACCGUUGCCUAUUGACACUAAACACUAGUGCUUUUUUUUGGGGGGGAAGGUUCACUAAACAUUAAUUUAAACUGUAACAUAUAUUUAAGCUUGUUCUUGAAUUUAGAUUACAGUUUGUGUGUGGCUUAGUCUUCGGUAGUAAAUCACUAAUCCACACAUCAAUCUGAUUCUUCCCUCCCUAAGUACUACUCCAUGAAGAUUAUCCAUGCAUGCUAAUUCUCUGAAUGCAAUGCAGCUCCGUCAUCGCCACCACCAAAAUCACCAUCGGUGCCGUCUCCGGCGCCGGUCGCUCCUUCACCAGCCCCAGUCUCUCCACCACCAGCGGCCCCACCGGUCUCUCCAGCUCAGCCACCUGUUGUUCCAGCCCA